Molecule: transfer RNA, 73 nt
Filed under: Nitzschia sp. PL3-2
Lineage: Eukaryota; Bacillariophyta; Bacillariophyceae; Bacillariales; Bacillariaceae
Description: tRNA-Asn
Rfam family: tRNA
About the family: Transfer RNA (tRNA) molecules are approximately 80 nucleotides in length. Their secondary structure includes four short double-helical elements and three loops (D, anti-codon, and T loops). Further hydrogen bonds mediate the characteristic L-shaped molecular structure. tRNAs have two regions of fundamental functional importance: the anti-codon, which is responsible for specific mRNA codon recognition, and the 3' end, to which the tRNAs corresponding amino acid is attached (by aminoacyl-tRNA synthetases). tRNAs cope with the degeneracy of the genetic code in two manners: having more than one tRNA (with a specific anti-codon) for a particular amino acid; and 'wobble' base-pairing, i.e. permitting non-standard base-pairing at the 3rd anti-codon position.
Source: RNAcentral
UCCUUAAUAGCUCAGAUGGUAGAGCGGUUGGCUGUUAACUAAUUGGUCGUAGGUUCGAGUCCUUCUUAAGGAG